RNAcentral lists this transfer RNA (88 nucleotides) under Bacillota bacterium. RNAcentral describes it as "tRNA-Ser". It matches the Rfam family "tRNA". Rfam says of the family: Transfer RNA (tRNA) molecules are approximately 80 nucleotides in length. Their secondary structure includes four short double-helical elements and three loops (D, anti-codon, and T loops). RNAcentral also lists the same sequence under 3 other names. Lineage: Bacteria; Bacillati; Bacillota. The record is from RNAcentral.
GGAGGGAUGUCCGAAUUGGCUAAGGAGCCGGACUUGAAAUCCGGUGAAGCCGAAAGGUGUCUGGGUUCGAGUCCCAGUCCCUCCGCCA